GGCUGGGCUGAGUGUCCUCUUUUGUAGAAAUCAAAAUAUGGUCACCCUAGUCUAGCAUUAGUUUUAAGGCAUUUCAAAUGAAAAAUGUCCUGAGUGUGUUGCUAAGACCCGUGUGCAUCUAUAAAAGGGCUGUGGAGUCUGUGGCGUGAAGAUUCCGGGCGAAGGUACCUUGAACGAGAAGCGUAGACGAGAUCCUGGAACAAAGCGAAUGGGUCCAUGAACAACAUUGCUGCCAUCACUUCAGUCAUACACACUUUCAUUAUUUCUCCAUCAGAGAAUGGCUUCUUAUGUUUGGCCAACACCCACGACACUCUGAGAGGAAACUUGUCCUGUCUCUUCACCACCAAGCUUUGGCUGAAUGGUGAAUGAACACCUAAAGCGCCGUCACCCAGUUGUAAUUUUGGAUGAUGGCAGGAGACUACGCUGGCAGAUUAUUGUCAGGGAAAUUCACUUUUGAACACCAAGACAAGUAUCAAAUAAGAGAACAGAAUCAGACUCAGCCAAGGAUUGUCUUCCUUCGAAGGCUUUAUGAACAAGAGCUGUCGGGUACAGACGCGGAGCCACGCACAAAGCGUCCUCUCCGCAUUUGGACAAAAGAGAGGCAUGCCUCUAUUUAUGGGUUGACAUCAUAGAAACUAAACCGAAACUUACUAUAGCAUAUCCUGGGAAAAACACCUCAAGUUAUGACCUUGAACACCGGCUCUAUGCUCUAUGCUACAAUGUUCUCAUGCAAGCAUAACAAAAGCAUACAAAAUAUGAUG
This is a long non-coding RNA of Corythoichthys intestinalis (scribbled pipefish), 761 nucleotides long. RefSeq lists it as uncharacterized. The transcript is spliced from 5 exons. The record is from RefSeq and is a predicted model, not a curated record. NCBI's taxonomy places the organism in Eukaryota, Metazoa, Chordata, Actinopteri, Syngnathiformes, Syngnathidae.